UACAGAGGGUGCGAGCGUUAAUCGGAAUUACUGGGCGUAAAGCGCGCGUAGGCGGCUUUGCAAGUCGGGUGUGAAAUCCCCAGGCUUAACCUGGGAACUGCAUUCGAGACUGCAUUGCUAGAGUAUGGGAGAGGGAAGUGGAAUUUCCGGUGUAGCGGUGAAAUGCGUAGAUAUCGGAAGGAACAUCAGUGGCGAAGGCGGGUCUCUGGGCCGAUAUCGACGCUGAGGAGCGAAAGCGUGGGGAGCGAACAGG
This 253-nucleotide ribosomal RNA is filed under the name uncultured bacterium. RNAcentral describes it as "partial 16S ribosomal RNA". It matches the Rfam family "Bacterial small subunit ribosomal RNA", at positions 524 to 776 of the family's 1533-position model. The record is from RNAcentral.